GGAAACUGAGAAUAAUACCCGAUAGAACAUUAUGCCUGGAACGGUUAAUGUUUCAAAUAAUUUAUUGCCGUAGGAUGGGACUGCGGCCUAUCAGUUUGUUGGUGAGGUAAUGGCCCACCAAGACUAUUACAGGUACGGGCUCUGAGAGGAGUAGCCCGGAGAUGGGUACUGAGACACGGACCCAGGCCCUAUGGGGCGCAGCAGGCGAGAAAACUUUGCAA
RNAcentral lists this ribosomal RNA (221 nucleotides) under uncultured archaeon. RNAcentral describes it as "partial 16S ribosomal RNA". It matches the Rfam family "Archaeal small subunit ribosomal RNA", at positions 135 to 355 of the family's 1478-position model. The record is from RNAcentral.